Molecule: ribosomal RNA, 599 nt
Filed under: uncultured fungus
Lineage: Eukaryota; Fungi
Description: eukaryotic LSU rRNA
Rfam family: 5.8S ribosomal RNA (bases 202-355)
Source: RNAcentral
UCCGUAGGUGAACCUGCGGAAGGAUCAUUACCUUUCCAUGCAGCAGGAUUGGGGUGGUUGAGUAUCUCGCCUCCUGAUUCUGCCUGUAUUCUACCCUUGUUUUUCUCAUACUAUUAUUUCCUCGGCAGGCUUGCUUGCCGGGUGAAACCAUCUAUAACCUAUUUAAUUUUCAAUCAGCGUCUGAACAAAAUUAAUAAUUACAACUUUCAACAACGGAUCUCUUGGUUCUGGCAUCGAUGAAGAACGCAGCGAAAUGCGAUAAGUAGUGUGAAUUGCAGAAUUCAGUGAAUCAUCGAAUCUUUGAACGCACAUUGCGCCCCUUGGUAUUCCAUGGGGCAUGCCUGUUCGAGCGUCAUUUGUACCUUCAAGCUUUGCUUGGUGUUGGGUGUUUGUCCCUUGGGACUCGCCUUAAAAGUCAUUGGCAGCCAGUGUUUUGGUUUUGAAGCGCAGCACAAGUCGCGAUUCAAAGCUAUCCGCCCGCUUCCACAAGCCUUUUUCACUUUUGACCUCGGAUCAGGUAGGGAUACCCGCUGAACUUAAGCAUAUCAAUAAGGCGGGAGGGGAAGGUCGGACUGGCCAAGGGCACACAGGGGGGGAUA